CCUACGGGUGGCUGCAGUCGAGGAUCUUCGGCAAUGGACGCAAGUCUGACCGAGCGACGCCGCGUGCGGGAUGAAGGCUUUCGGGUUGUAAACCGCUGUCAGUGGGGAGGCCUAUCCGCAGAGGAAGCAAGGGCUAAGUUCGUGCCAGCAGCCGCGGUAAGACGAACCUUGCUAACGUUAUUCGGAAUUACUGGGCUUAAAGGGUGCGUAGGCGGUGCAGAAAGUCGGGUGUGAAAUCCCCCAGCUCAACUGAGGAAUUGCGCCCGAAACUACUGUGCUUGAGGAAGAUAGAGGUACGCGGAACUUAGGGUGGAGCGGUGAAAUGCGUUGAUAUCCUAAGGAACACCGGUGGCGAAAGCGGCGUACUGGGUCUUUCUGACGCUGAGGCACGAAAGCUAGGGUAGCGAACGGGAUUAGAUACCCUUGUAGUC
Molecule: ribosomal RNA, 431 nt
Filed under: uncultured bacterium
Lineage: Bacteria
Description: partial 16S ribosomal RNA
Rfam family: Bacterial small subunit ribosomal RNA
Source: RNAcentral